Molecule: transfer RNA, 90 nt
Filed under: Lyngbya confervoides BDU141951
Lineage: Bacteria; Bacillati; Cyanobacteriota; Cyanophyceae; Oscillatoriales; Microcoleaceae
Description: tRNA-Ser
Rfam family: tRNA
About the family: Transfer RNA (tRNA) molecules are approximately 80 nucleotides in length. Their secondary structure includes four short double-helical elements and three loops (D, anti-codon, and T loops).
Source: RNAcentral
GGAGAGGUGGCUGAGUGGUUGAAAGCGGCAGAUUGCUAAUCUGUUCUAGGGGUAAAUCCCCUAGCGAGGGUUCGAAUCCCUCCCUCUCCG